Molecule: ribosomal RNA, 482 nt
Filed under: uncultured bacterium
Lineage: Bacteria
Description: partial 16S ribosomal RNA
Rfam family: Bacterial small subunit ribosomal RNA
Source: RNAcentral
GUUGAACGCUGGCGGCAUGCCUUACACAUGCAAGUCGAACGGUAACAGGUCUUCGGAUGCUGACGAGUGGCGAACGGGUGAGUAAUACAUCGGAACGUGCCCGAUCGUGGGGGAUAACGAAGCGAAAGCUUUGCUAAUACCGCAUAAGAUCUACGGAUGAAAGCAGGGGACCGCAAGGCCUUGCGCGAACGGAGCGGCCGAUGGCAGAUUAGGUAGUUGGUGGGAUAAAAGCUUACCAAGCCGACGAUCUGUAGCUGGUCUGAGAGGACGACCAGCCACACUGGGACUGAGACACGGCCCAGACUCCUACGGGAGGCAGCAGUGGGGAAUUUUGGACAAUGGGCGAAAGCCUGAUCCAGCCAUGCCGCGUGCAGGAUGAAGGCCUUCGGGUUGUAAACUGCUUUUGUACGGAACGAAAAGACUCUGGUUAAUACCUGGGGUCCAUGACGGUACCGUAAGAAUAAGCACCGGCUAACUACGUG